Molecule: ribosomal RNA, 402 nt
Filed under: uncultured bacterium
Lineage: Bacteria
Description: bacterial SSU rRNA
Rfam family: Bacterial small subunit ribosomal RNA
Source: RNAcentral
UCGGGAAUUUUGUGCAAUGGGCGAAAGCCUGACCCAGCAACGCCGCGUGAGGGAUGAAGUAUUUCGGUAUGUAAACCUCGAAAGAAUGGGAAGAAUAAAUGACGGUACCAUUUAUAAGCUCCGGCUAACUACGUGCCAGCAGCCGCGGUAAUACGUAGGGAGCAAGCGUUGUUCGGAUUUACUGGGCGUAAAGGGCGCGUAGGCGGCGCGGUAAGUCACUUGUGAAAUCUCUGAGCUUAACUCAGAACGGCCAAGUGAUACUGCUGUGCUAGAGUGCGGAAGAGGCAACCGGAAUUCUUGGUGUCGCGGUUAAAUGCGUAGAUAUCAAGAGGAACACCUGAGGCGAAGGCGGGUUGCUGGGCCGACACUGACGCUGAUGCGCGAAAGCCAGGGGAGCAAACG